Molecule: long non-coding RNA, 605 nt
Organism: Rhinopithecus roxellana (golden snub-nosed monkey)
Lineage: Eukaryota; Metazoa; Chordata; Mammalia; Primates; Cercopithecidae
Exons: 3
Source: RefSeq, a predicted model, not a curated record
GUUGCCCAGGCUGGUCUCCAAUGCCUGAGCUCAGGCGAUCCUACAACCUCAGCCUCCCAAAGUGCUGGGAUUACAGGCAUGAGCCACCACGUCCAGCCUAAACUGAUUUUUAUGUUGUGAACUUAGAAUAUCCAACCAACAGUAAAGAUUACCUAGUGCUUUCUAACAUGAGAUUCUCCUAUUUGUUCAUCCUAGGAUCGUGCUCCUCUGUGGAGCAAGUGCCUCUAUGAAAAGCCACAUUUUGUGAAGAAAGUGCAUGCAGGAAUAUUCAGGAGUCCAGCGUGUAGUCAUGGCAGCCUUAGGUAUUUGAGAACGACCAACCCUCCUGCUGAAGACAACCAUAACUCAUGCAGGCAUGAGUCUAAGCGCAUCAAGACUGGAUGGUUCCUAUGACUGUAUUCUCUACUAAGAACUUGGGGUGUGAUGCCCAAAAGUGUGUGAACCGGUCUGUGACCACAAAGAUGAGAACCGCAUGCUGAGAUUGGUGGAAUGGAGACUUCAGUGAAUCUACAUGCAGAUGACACGGUGACACCAGUGCCCAGCCUGAGCUGUUUUCUUCUGGCUGUCUUAUUACAUGAGAAAAAUAAACCCCUAUGCACCUUGGC